GUGGGGAAUAUUGGACAAUGGGCGAAAGCCUGAUCCAGCCAUGCCGCGUGUGUGAAGAAGGCCUUUUGGUUGUAAAGCACUUUAAGCGAGGAGGAGGCUACCGAGAUUAAUACUCUUGGAUAGUGGACGUUACUCGCAGAAUAAGCACCGGCUAACUCUGUGCCAGCAGCCGCGGUAAUACAGAGGGUGCGAGCGUUAAUCGGAUUUACUGGGCGUAAAGCGUGCGUAGGCGGCUUUUUAAGUCGGAUGUGAAAUCCCGGAGCUUAACUUAGGAAUUGCAUUCGAUACUGGGAAGCUAGAGUAUGGGAGAGGAUGGUAGAAUUCCAGGUGUAGCGGUGAAAUGCGUAGAGAUCUGGAGGAAUACCGAUGGCGAAGGCAGCCAUCUGGCCUAAUACUGACGCUGAGGUACGAAAGCAUGGGGAGCAAACAGGAUUAGAAACCCUGGUAGUCC
Molecule: ribosomal RNA, 451 nt
Filed under: uncultured bacterium
Lineage: Bacteria
Description: partial 16S ribosomal RNA
Rfam family: Bacterial small subunit ribosomal RNA
Source: RNAcentral